UGCGUAGGCGGAUUAAUAAGUCAGUGGUGAAAUCUCCCGGCUCAACCGGGAAACUGCCAUUGAUACUGUUAGUCUAGAGUUUAGAUGAAGUGGGCGGAAUGUAGCAUGUAGCGGUGAAAUGCUUAGAUAUGCUACAGAACACCGAUUGCGAAGGCAGCUCACUAAGCUAAAACUGACGCUCAUGCACGAAAGCGUGGGGAUCAAACAGGAUUAGAUACCCUGGUAGGUCC
This 230-nucleotide ribosomal RNA is filed under the name uncultured bacterium. RNAcentral describes it as "partial 16S ribosomal RNA". It matches the Rfam family "Bacterial small subunit ribosomal RNA", at positions 568 to 796 of the family's 1533-position model. The record is from RNAcentral.